Molecule: non-coding RNA, 3735 nt
Organism: Doryrhamphus excisus (bluestripe pipefish)
Lineage: Eukaryota; Metazoa; Chordata; Actinopteri; Syngnathiformes; Syngnathidae
Source: RefSeq, a predicted model, not a curated record
AGAGCGCAAAGCCAAGGGACUAGCUUGGUUUGGCUCCUUCGAAAACUGGACUAUAUUUCCGCACAGAACUUCUACAAAAACUGAGGUUUGUCUGCAUUAAUCAUGGAAAGCUGAGAAAAACAGCGACUCCCGUCGUUCGCUUCAAAGAGCCGACUCGAAGAGCCGUUUCGUUCGCGACCCACACAUCCCCAAUGGCACUCAUUACAAGUACAGGUGAAGCACGUGCUGGGUUCGGGCACUCGAUUCCGCGGAGUGAUACAACAGAGCGCAGAACCAAGGGACUAGUUUGGUUUGGUCUCCUACGAAAACUGGACUACAUUUCGGCACAAAACUUCGACAAAAACUGAGGGAUAAAAAAAAACAACAACAACAACAAAAAAACGAGUUCAGCCAAAAUGGCCGCCAUUGACUUUGAUCAUCACCCGCCAAUUCAUCACCGUGAUGAUGGAGUACAAGAGGAUGAAAUGAAGUGUGUGAAUAGGAGAGACAAAUGGACAAAAACUGUGGAUGAUUGUCGUCAGGUAGGACAGAAGAGGCUUGGGUUGUGUGUCAGUGGGCCGCCUGGGAACGAUGUGUGUGUGUGUGAGUGUGUGUUUUGUCUUCAGAAAUGGAGAUCAAUUUCCACAUGGCUUUUAAAGGCUCUGACAGGAGAAUAACAUGGAAGUGUGUGUAUGUUUUUAUUGUGUGUGUGUGUCUGGACUGUAGUGUACAUAUAUUGUGUGUGUGUGUGUGUGUGUGUGUGUGUGUGUGUUUGAGGGUGGUCCAGACCCCCAUCUCUCAGCAAAUCAGCAGGCCUGAAAAUCCAAUCUGCCCAGAGAGACAGCAAGCUGUACAUCAUCUGCCAGGGAUGGACACUAUCAGUUCUUUAUCAGCUACGCCCCCCCUCCCCCAAAAACACACACACACACACACACACACACACCAUGUCACUACUCUUGCUUAGGUAUCGUUUAGACAUCAAUGAAAUACCAAAUUGUCAGUUUUUCAUUAUUUGUAUUACAUUUAUUUUAUAAUGUGUAUUUUAUUUUUUAUAUUGGUUUUCCCCAAACAGUGAGAUUUUCAUGCUAUGUUCAUCAGUCCUUGAACGCACCACAGUUGUGACACAGAUUCUCUUUGCUCAUCUUGUGAGAUUUCCUACUUUGUUCUAUGGUCCUUGAAUGCAGCACAGUUGUGACACAGAUUCUGUAAUGUUCAUGCAUCAUUUUCAGUGUAUCACUGUUAAAAAGCCCACCAAUUUAAAAUGUUUUUUUAACGCUUCAUUUAUGCUGCUUUUUCAUCAAGAGGUAAGAUUUCCUACUUUGUUCCAUGGUCCUUGAACGCAUUACAGUUGUGACACCGAUUCUGUCUGUUCAUGCAUCAUCUUGUGUGUAUCACUGUUAAAAAGCCCACCAUUUGAAAAUGUUUUUUAACUCCUCACUUAUGCUGCUUUUUCAUCAAGUGGUGAGAUUUCCUACUUUGUUCUAAUGGUCCUUGAAUGCAUUACAGUUGUGACACCGAUUCAGUCUGUCCAUGCAUCAUCUUGUGUAUCGCUGUUAAAAAGCCCACCAUUUAAAAUUGUUUUUAACGCUUCAAUUAUGCUGCUUUUUCAUGAAGUGAUGAGAUUUCCUACUUUGUUCCAUGGUCCUUGAGCGCACCAUAGUUAUGUGCUUUGACACAGAUUCUGUCUGUUCAUGCAUGAUUUUGUGUGUAUCAAUGUGAAAAGCCCACCAUUUGAAAAUGUUUUUUAACGCUCCACUUAUGCUGCUUUAUCAAGUGGUGAGAUUUCCUACUUUGUUCCAUGGUCCUUGAGCGCACCAUAGUUAUGUGUCGUGACACAGAUUCUGUCUGUUCAUGCAUCAUCUUGUGUGUAUCACUGUUAAAAAGCCCACCAUUUCUAAUUUUUUUUUGUGAGAUUCCACACUUAACUAGUCAGUCCUUGAACACACCAUAAGUUGUGUGCCGUGACUCCGACUCCAUCCUAUGUGUAGCAGUUAGAAAGACAAGUUGUUAUCUUUAUGCUUCGUCCAGCACUAUCAUUCCGUACUUUUUUCAUUGGUCCUUGAACGCACCGUAGUUGUGUAGCGUGACUCCUGAUUCCAUCUGUUCAGGCAUCAUCUUACAUGUACCCCUGUCAGAAAGCCCACAAUUAUUACAUUUUUAGGUCUUUAUGCUUUACAGAUAAUGUUUUUUGUCAGGCGCUGAGAUUUCGUACUUUGUUCUAUGGUUUCAAAUGCAUCAUAGUGGUGUGCCAUGACUCUGAUUCUGUGUGUUCUUGUAUCAUUUGCCAUUAUAAUUCACCAGUGGUGUUUAAAUGCGUUUAAUACGGGAUUUUCUUUCUCGCUAGAUGACAAUUUUUUGGCUUAAUAUUUUGACUAAAUUCUUGGAAAAUUACUGAUUUUACCAUUUUUUACUUUCUUGUUAAAUGAACCCAUGCAGCUAUGAAAAGAUGACCAAGUAAAGCGAUAUUAAAUCGUGUUUCACACUUUAUUCAUAGAAAAGCACUGAGUUUCCAACACAAAUCAAUAUAAAAUGGUAGUAGCGUUACAUAAAUAGUCAUAAAUUCUCGCUUUAUAGACAGUAGCUCAAGAAUUUGCACAAAAAAAUGACAAAUAAAAAAAAAAUGUGGCUGUUAAGCUAUGAUACUUCUGUGGCAGCAAAUACUGGAAAUACCUUUUAAAAAAAAAAAAAAAAAAAAAAAAAAAAAUUACAAAUCAGUAGCACAAAGAGGCAACCAACACUUUGAAAAUUCCCUCACGUUGGAAAAGAAAGCGUGGGAGAGAGCGGGUGAACUACGAACCAUCGCUACCGGCAAAGGAAACCACGUAAGAACGCGGCGAGUACGUUGCUUACGUUUCUUUCUGAGGCUCGUGUUCCUCACGCUUACAUAAAACCCCCAACUUCCGCCUUCCCGACGAUGCGGCAUCGUCUCAAACCCAGGAUAUAGAUGCGUACAAACCCAGGAUAUAGAUGCGUACAAACCCAAGGCGAGGUUAAAAAAACGACUCGUUCCGUCUCUCACGACGGCGUGAAAAGACACAAAAGGCUUUUGAAGUCCUGAUUGGAGCGAAGCGACAAAGCAGAAAAUCAACUUUGUACAUUGACAGGUCAAGAAAGGCAUUUUUUUUUUCACGCCCUCUCCUCCCCAAUGCUGCAGCACGCUAGCUGUUAGUGCAUCCUUCACCCGCAAAGCAUGCUGGACUGGGCUCGGCUGCCCCCAUUUCCCCCUUCCGUUCAUAGUGGUUCAGUCCACUCCUUUUUUAAAAAAGUCCACCCGAGUGGUUCUGCAUAGUCUGGUUUCAUGAGCAUCUGUCCCCAUUUUACACAAUUACAGUCAAACGCUUCUUUUUGGACUUUUUUUUUCUUUGCAAAUCUAAAAACAAAUCAACAUAAAAUCAAAAAUAAUAAGAGUAAAUAUAGCAAAACGGACAAAAAGAAAUGUACACAGGAGCACCUGAGAAAUGCCUUGAAGUCUUUUGCUCUUAGAAAAACAAAAAAUCCCCCCCCCCCCACACACACAUCCAAAACAGUUCACUCCCACCACAAACAAAACACAACAUACGUAUCAUAAAUAAUUAUCAUUUUACAAUUUUUCUCAAUUGACACUUUUUCAUAUUUACAAUACUUUAAAUGCUACUACUUUUUUUUUCUCCUUUUGUUUUGUUUCUUUAAGUGAUGUCCCUGAGAACUAAGGUUAGCCUCUUGUUUUCCUUUUCAUUCUUCGGUGUUUCUUCAAUAGCAAAACAUACAAGACAAAAA